CCGAAGCUGGGAGAUGGAUACAUGUUCCUAAUGUGUUGUUUGUGUUCUAGUCAAGCUGCUUGUGCCUGUCAACGUGACAAUGACAAAGACAAAAGACCAGGAGUAUGAGCUGAGGUGGACAAAACAGAUCCUAAGCUAUGGCUAUAUAGGCCAGAGAUAUGAAUUCUUGUAUUGGAAGACUGGUGACUCCUUGGAGUCUGGUCACCACUGAUUCUCCCACUGCUGGUUCCAGUCUUCACCAUCAUGCUGAUAGCAUUUGGCUGGUGCAGUUAUAGAGGCUUACUCAGCAAGAAGAAAAAAUGAGAGGAAAAGAUUCCAAAUCCUGGCAGGAGUCAGCUGCUCCAGAGCUACCUCCAGAAAGUACUGCUCGGGAUUCCGCUGCCAAGCAGCCAGCUGGACUUUGGCAAGCAGAGCCCUUCCAAGAAGACAGACCUGGUC
This 438-nucleotide long non-coding RNA is filed under the name Gopherus agassizii (Agassiz's desert tortoise). RNAcentral describes it as "lncRNA (ENSGAGG00000000534.1)". Lineage: Eukaryota; Metazoa; Chordata; Testudines; Testudinidae. The record is from RNAcentral.